Molecule: ribosomal RNA, 705 nt
Filed under: Lactiplantibacillus plantarum
Lineage: Bacteria; Bacillati; Bacillota; Bacilli; Lactobacillales; Lactobacillaceae
Description: bacterial SSU rRNA
Rfam family: Bacterial small subunit ribosomal RNA
Source: RNAcentral
GCAGUCGACGAACUCUGGUAUUGAUUGGUGCUUGCAUCAUGAUUUACAUUUGAGUGAGUGGCGAACUGGUGAGUAACACGUGGGAAACCUGCCCAGAAGCGGGGGAUAACACCUGGAAACAGAUGCUAAUACCGCAUAACAACUUGGACCGCAUGGUCCGAGUUUGAAAGAUGGCUUCGGCUAUCACUUCUGGAUGGUCCCGCGGCGUAUUAGCUAGAUGGUGGGGUAACGGCUCACCAUGGCAAUGAUACGUAGCCGACCUGAGAGGGUAAUCGGCCACAUUGGGACUGAGACACGGCCCAAACUCCUACGGGAGGCAGCAGUAGGGAAUCUUCCACAAUGGACGAAAGUCUGAUGGAGCAACGCCGCGUGAGUGAAGAAGGGUUUCGGCUCGUAAAACUCUGUUGUUAAAGAAGAACAUAUCUGAGAGUAACUGUUCAGGUAUUGACGGUAUUUAACCAGAAAGCCACGGCUAACUACGUGCCAGCAGCCGCGGUAAUACGUAGGUGGCAAGCGUUGUCCGGAUUUAUUGGGCGUAAAGCGAGCGCAGGCGGUUUUUUAAGUCUGAUGUGAAAGCCUUCGGCUCAACCGAAGAAGUGCAUCGGAAACUGGGAAACUUGAGUGCAGAAGAGGACAGUGGAACUCCAUGUGUAGCGGUGAAAUGCGUAGAUAUAUGGAAGAACACCAGUGGCGAAGGCGGCUGUC